RNAcentral lists this ribosomal RNA (521 nucleotides) under Meyerozyma guilliermondii. RNAcentral describes it as "LSU rRNA". It matches the Rfam family "Eukaryotic large subunit ribosomal RNA", at positions 62 to 588 of the family's 3401-position model. RNAcentral also lists the same sequence under 1 other name. The record is from RNAcentral. Lineage: Eukaryota; Fungi; Ascomycota; Pichiomycetes; Serinales; Debaryomycetaceae.
AAACCAACAGGGAUUGCCUUAGUAGCGGCGAGUGAAGCGGCAAAAGCUCAAAUUUGAAAUCUGGCACCUUCGGUGUCCGAGUUGUAAUUUGAAGAUUGUAACCUUGGGGUUGGCUCUUGUCUAUGUUUCUUGGAACAGGACGUCACAGAGGGUGAGAAUCCCGUGCGAUGAGAUGCCCAAUCCUAUGUAAGGUGCUUUCGAAGAGUCGAGUUGUUUGGGAAUGCAGCUCUAAGUGGGUGGUAAAUUCCAUCUAAAGCUAAAUAUUGGCGAGAGACCGAUAGCGAACAAGUACAGUGAUGGAAAGAUGAAAAGAACUUUGAAAAGAGAGUGAAAAAGUACGUGAAAUUGUUGAAAGGGAAGGGUUUGAGAUCAGACUCGAUAUUUUGUGAGCCUUGCCUUCGUGGCGGGGUGACCCGCAGCUUAUCGGGCCAGCAUCGGUUUGGGCGGUAGGAUAAUGGCGUAGGAAUGUGACUUUGCUUCGGUGAAGUGUUAUAGCCUGCGUUGAUGCUGCCUGCCUAGAC